UUGGCGGUAACCCAAAGGACUUGGCGGUGCCUCAAACCCACCUAGAGGAGCCUGUCCUAGAACCGAUAAUCCGCGUUAAACCUCACCCUCCCUUGUUAACCCAGCCUAUAUACCGCCGUCGCCAGCUUACCUUAUGAAAGAACAACAGUAAGCCCAAUGAGUAAUGCUCAAAACGUCAGGUCGAGGUGUAGCUAAUGNGAGGGAAAGAGAUGGGNUNCAUUUUCUGA
This 227-nucleotide ribosomal RNA is filed under the name Chilorhinus suensonii (seagrass eel). RNAcentral's name for it is "partial 12S ribosomal RNA". It matches the Rfam family "Bacterial small subunit ribosomal RNA", at positions 890 to 1237 of the family's 1533-position model. Lineage: Eukaryota; Metazoa; Chordata; Actinopteri; Anguilliformes; Chlopsidae. The record is from RNAcentral.